GUGAGUGGCCGAAUCCAAACUUGAUUAGAAAUUGAACCCAAUCUAACUUGAUUGGUCUGGUGAACAAGCGACACAUUAAUAUAGCUAAUUUCAAAAUGUUAGAAUUUGAUGUUUCAAGAUUCGGUCCAUACUAAGCCUACAGUGAGAUCCGCGACAACAAACGAAGUCCAACGAGCCUAAGAUCAAUCUAAAUAGAGUCUGAAUGAAGAAGUUAUGGUCAAAAAA
Molecule: long non-coding RNA, 225 nt
Filed under: Elaeis guineensis (African oil palm)
Lineage: Eukaryota; Viridiplantae; Streptophyta; Magnoliopsida; Arecales; Arecaceae
Description: long non-coding RNA (EGUI_LNC028734)
Source: RNAcentral